AGGUGAUCUCAACAGGCUAGAUCAGUGGAUGCUCAAUCUGAAAAGUCAAAACUGGACUCUCAGCAAGACCUCUCGUCUGUGCAGUGAACACUUUGAGAGUCAUCACUUCACCACUGACUCCAGGGGAAGGACUUGCCUGAAGGACACCGACUGGUGUGCCUACCAUUUUCUCUUUCUCAAAGGGCAAAGAACAGCCAAAAGGAGGGAGGCUUGAAGUGAGAUGGGCAUCUAUAAAGACCUGGUAGAGCAGCCAGCUGCUCCAUGCUGCUACCUCCUGACCUAGAAACUCAGUCAGGACCACUUGCAGUUGUUUCUCUCUGCAGUCAGCACGUGGAGGUUAUAACAACCCCAAUGUAGAGCAGUUCUGAGCGGCAACUGUCUUCCUCGUGACAACACACCCAUCCUUGACUCAACACCUGCGGCUGUGAACAUCGCACGCCGAUUGGAUAUGGAGCCUGUUUAAGUGCUUGUGCCCGAGGGUGACAAGGAAGCAGCAAUCUCUUACAUCACAGGCUUCAUUGUCAGAAAGAUUAAAAAGAAGGUUACUUGCAUGACUUGCUCACAAGCACUGACCACAGAUGACUUGGUGCAGCGAUUCUUGGCUUUGAAGGACAGAGGUGGCCUACAGAAACCAUCACUGGGUAUCACUGCAGUUUGCCAAGUUACAGAAAGAUGCUUUCAGCGGCUUCUACAAACCAAUGAAGGAAAGGCUCCACAGGGAAGGGGAUCAACAGCAGCCAUUGUCACCCAGGUUCUUUCUGAUUGUUUUGAGAAAAAUCUCUUCCCACAGCUGCACAGCCACAUGUUCGACAUGUGUGUUGAAGCUAACCAUGUCCACGUUCUGGUAAAGAUGGCUUCUGCGUGGUACUGCAAAAUUACAUUAAAUCAUAUAGCAAGGUGGGAGACAGAUCAAAUUAAAGAAGGUAAGGUGGUCCACAGAAAACUCACAAAAUUAAUCCUUUUUAUGGAGAUUAAGGGAAAGGUGGUCAUUUCUGUGUGUGUGUGUGUGUGUGUGUGUGUGUGUACAGUGUGUUUUUCUGUGUAUGUCAGUAUGUGGCCAACACUUUCUUUGUAGUUAUCAGACCUAGAACAUGGAAAAUGGCAAGUACCAAGCCUAACUCUCUUUGGACAACGUUGUAAAUGAUACUUGGAGCCUGCAUGAAUGGGGCCUAAGUAACUUUCAAUGUCUGCUCUAAAGGAAGUACUGACAUGUGUUGUCUCAAAUUAACUUCAUUGCCAGAUUUACCUAGCUGAGAAAUAAAUUUUUCAACAUAAACUAAGUGCCUGCAUAAACGGGGCCUAAGUGU
Micropterus dolomieu (smallmouth bass) is the source of this 1307-nucleotide long non-coding RNA. RefSeq lists it as uncharacterized. The transcript has 3 exons. The record is from RefSeq and is a predicted model, not a curated record. Lineage: Eukaryota; Metazoa; Chordata; Actinopteri; Centrarchiformes; Centrarchidae.